Molecule: long non-coding RNA, 339 nt
Organism: Pipra filicauda (Wire-tailed manakin)
Lineage: Eukaryota; Metazoa; Chordata; Aves; Passeriformes; Pipridae
Exons: 2
Source: RefSeq, a predicted model, not a curated record
GCAUAAAACUCCCCACUGCAGGGGAGGUACCAGAGGCCUUCCCAUCUGAGCCUGAGUUUUGGGGCUUCCCAGAUCACCCUGGACUUCUACCACCACCUCAGAUCUGAACUGUGAUCACCACUUCAACCAACAAACAUGGAAAUUGCAACAACUAAGUCUCAUCACUGGAUCUAACAGAAGGUAUAUGGAUUCUAUUUCUUUUUGUGCAUCACCAGUGACUGCCUGCCUGCCUGCCUCCCUCCUGAAGCAAGCUUUAAAACUAGACAAUGGAGGACAAGUUUGCUACCUGUGAACCAGUAAUAACAAACCCAGAAACUAAUGAUACUAAUUUUAAUAGAA